GGUGGAACGUUCUCUGGGGUUUCUCCUGCUAUUGCACCUGCACGUUGCUUCUCUCGUGGAUGUUUUUCUGCUCAGUGUCUACACGAGAGAGUGAGAGAAGCCAUUGCCCCGUUGAUCCACUGAUGAUCUGUUUACAGGUUAUGUGGAAAAGCCUGUGCUUGAUGGAGAUGUAAAGCAGAUGACCACAGCAUCCCAGGUCCCAAGAGGGGACUGUUUUAGUAAUUUUCUACUGGGCAAACUGAAUUUGUCAGGUCUCAGGUUUAACUUUCUUCUUUCUUCCUGGCAAUCUCCACGCAGCUGUUUUUACUUACACUCUCGCGCACCUGUUUGUUAUUUCCUCAUUCUCUUUUGACUCCUUAUAGUCAGCCUCUGCUUUCCUUUCCGUUGCCAGUGUGUUGA
Molecule: long non-coding RNA, 399 nt
Organism: Triplophysa dalaica
Lineage: Eukaryota; Metazoa; Chordata; Actinopteri; Cypriniformes; Nemacheilidae
Exons: 3
Source: RefSeq, a predicted model, not a curated record